GUGCAGAAUCACCCACUGAGUCCCAGACACAAACUGCAUGAGGGUCUACACAGGUAAGAAGGUUGGUCCCCGAGGCCUGGGGCUCCAGGCCCCCUCAGCUCUAGGACCCUGAGCCCAGCCCCUGUAUCCCUCUGCCCUCCCAAUGGACUCCAGGCCCCUGCUGGGCACACUCACACUGCACAGAGAGGUCCAGGGCUCGCUGCUGAGAGCCAAGCCUGUUCUCCGCUCGGCAGGUGUAGCGCCCUGAAUCCCCAGCCUUCACCCCGGGCAGCUCCAGCCCCAGGGGUCUGGGGCCCCAGGGAUGGGACGAGGAGAGGACUCUAUCCUGCAGGACCCAGCUCAGUGUGGCAGGGGGCUGGCUGUCAGCAGCACAGAGGAGCCGCAGGAACUGGCCUUUCUGGGCUUCCAGGGAAAAGAAAGUGGGACUAUCCCGGGUAGACAAGUGACAACCAGCACCAGGGCUCACGUGUGUGGACCAGACGCCAUUCCCAUCCCUCUCCCAGGGCUGCGGCGGCAUCCUGGGACCCCACAGCUUCCUCUCCCUGGAUGCUCCUGAGCUGGGAGCCACUCACUGCCCCUCUGGGCUCCUCCCACCACCUACCCACCGGGUCUGUCUGAAUGCCCCAC
This 627-nucleotide non-coding RNA is filed under the name Pongo abelii (Sumatran orangutan). The record is from RNAcentral. Lineage: Eukaryota; Metazoa; Chordata; Mammalia; Primates; Hominidae.